RNAcentral lists this ribosomal RNA (468 nucleotides) under uncultured bacterium. Its description in RNAcentral is "partial 16S ribosomal RNA". It matches the Rfam family "Bacterial small subunit ribosomal RNA", at positions 28 to 507 of the family's 1533-position model. The record is from RNAcentral.
GACGAACGCUGGCGGCGUGCUUAACACAUGCAAGUCGAACGGAAAGGCCCUGCUUUUGUGGGGUGCUCGAGUGGCGAACGGGUGAGUAACACGUGAGUAACCUGCCCUUGACUUUGGGAUAACUUCAGGAAACUGGGGCUAAUACCGGAUAGGAGCUCCUGCUGCAUGGGGGGGGUUGGAAAGUUUCGGCGGUUGGGGAUGGACUCGCGGCUUAUCAGCUUGUUGGUGGGGUAGUGGCUUACCAAGGCUUUGACGGGUAGCCGGCCUGAGAGGGUGACCGGCCACCUUGGGACUGCGAUACGGCCCAGACUCCUACGGGAGGCAGCAGUGGGGAAUAUUGCACAAUGGGCGGAAGCCUGAUGCAGCAACGCCGCGUGCGGGAUGACGGCCUUCGGGUUGUAAACCGCUUUCGCCUGUGACGAAGCGUGAGUGACGGUACUGGGUAAAGAAGCACCGGCUAACUACGUG